GUAGUCUAGGACACAUGUUUGAAACGUGUUUAGCACAUGUCCUAAAACAAGAGACAUGCCAAACAUGUUUCAGACACGUGCCCUAGCCAUU
Molecule: microRNA precursor, 91 nt
Filed under: Picea abies (Norway spruce)
Lineage: Eukaryota; Viridiplantae; Streptophyta; Pinopsida; Pinales; Pinaceae
Description: miR11464a stem-loop (pab-MIR11464a)
Source: miRBase by way of RNAcentral